AAUGGUAGGGGGCAAAUGCUGCGCAACACUGGUGGCGUGGAAUAUGUUUAGGUGUAUUAAUGGGGAAUAUUCUCUGGGACUUGUAACAAUUACACUUCAGACAAUACUACUGUUGAUAAAAAAAUGUAGUUGAUCAUUCUCGUUGUUUUAUUUAUUAGUAAACGAUGGAAAAUAAAUAACCAUUGCAAUUAAUUUAAGGUUCUCAUUAAAAAUCUUUCUUGCAUGAAAGUCCUGCAAAAUCGAACAGAAUUGGACUAUUAAUUUUAUUUAUUUAUAUUACUAUAUUUACUGAUUAUCUGCUCAGUCUCGCCAUCACAGCGCCUCUUCCCCAGUCCUUGCAACCUCCUCCUUUUCGACUUUCAGAGCCUCCUCCUCAACCUGUCCAACCUCCUCCUUACGUCCACAGGGAUUCUCCACAGCCCCCUAGGCCUUAUGCCUUCGAAAGAACGAAGAAGGAUAAACAAAGAAAACGAUUUUAGUGAGUUCGCUGUGCAGUGGAUAUGGAUUCUUGUAGACUUGGAAACUUGGGGAAAGAGCUCUCUUCAACCCUGCUGCUGGAUGACACACUGAAAAUAGAGACUCUCCUAAUAUGAAAGGAGAUUGUACUGGAGACUUCACUGUUAUACUGACUGGCUGGCUAGAAGUGCUCUUCUUUUUUUUAACUUUCUGCCAUGAAGCAUUAUCUGUAAAUGAUCAUAAAACCUGACUUUCAAAUGAAAAUAUAAAGCAACUGGUUUUCG
Long non-coding RNA from Eriocheir sinensis (Chinese mitten crab), 740 nucleotides. RefSeq lists it as uncharacterized. The transcript is spliced from 3 exons. The record is from RefSeq and is a predicted model, not a curated record. NCBI's taxonomy places the organism in Eukaryota, Metazoa, Arthropoda, Malacostraca, Decapoda, Varunidae.